RNAcentral lists this long non-coding RNA (3460 nucleotides) under Sus scrofa (pig). RNAcentral describes it as "lncRNA (ENSSSCG00000058774.1)". The record is from RNAcentral. Lineage: Eukaryota; Metazoa; Chordata; Mammalia; Artiodactyla; Suidae.
GCGGCUGGAGCCGGGGGACAGCUGCGGUUAGGCAAUGGUGAGGCUUGUCAUCAGAUGCAGAGAAGGGCGGCUUUGUUACCGGCUCCCUCCCGGACAGAGAGCCCCUGCCCCCGCUGGCGAGGUAACAAGGAGAGCCUUGUGACUUCACUUCUUCCGGAUCAACAGCACGCUUGUCCUGACUUCCCGCUUCUGCAACUAUUUUCACCUGGAAGGAAAAAAAAGUGCCAUGUUAAGAAAAGCAGGAGCUCUCCUUCUUUUCAGCCUUGGAGUAUGGCUUUCCCGAACGGUCCUUGUCAUCUGUUCCCCUGUGUGAGUCUUCCUUUAAGACCUGGACAGUGUCUGAGGGAGGGAGGCAGGUAGCCCGUCCCUCUUUCUAGAAACAACAAGGCGUGUCUCGAUGGAGAACGCUCAGUGGGCACACGAGACAUACAGGAGCUUGGGGAUGUGCCCUCGCCCUUUGUGGCAUUUGGGAGCACAAGUGUCAGAGCCGUGGGGGCUCCUGCCACCCCCUCACCACAGGGAAGCUUGCUUUCUAAACACCUUUGAGCAGCGGAAGGCCAAUUUUCUCCCUGUGUCCCCCACCCCACCGAGUGGCCCUGGGAACAGAGGGAGUCUUCUCCUGGCAAGACAGCGGUGACAGCGAUGCCGACAGGUGACCUGACAGCCCUGAGUCCCUCGGAGGAUGGAUCUGAAGCAGGAUGAGAAAGGGAACACGAAAUGGACCAGCCCUGGACGCGGGCACUCGCCAAGUCCAUGGGCCAGGCUCCCCCUUCUCUGCCCACACAGGGGGCUGGUGCUGGGCAGGGUCGCAGCCAGCACAGGGAGGGCUUGGGUGACAGCGAUGCUGACAGAGGGUGCGAUUUAGUCAGCAUCCACAAGGAAACUGCAUGCUCCAGCCAAGAGAAGCCCCGGAGGGUUUACUCAGCAAAGGGACCGAUUUCCAGAGUGGGUACUGGGUGUGGGAGACACAGAUGCUGGGGGCCUCACAGUGCCCCCCCUCCCCAGCCCAGGGGAUGCAGGGAACGAGAGGGAACAGGCCUUCUGUGCAGGGCAGCGAGCCGACCCGAGGUGACCCUGGCAGGGCACCAGCACCUGAAGGCCUCCUGCUGCUCCCUGCCCACCCCAUCCCAAGCGGCUUCCCUGGACCCAGCGAGGGUUCAUCUUUCCCACCCCCCCUCUCGUCCUGAGACUUUUGACAUUUCCCUCAGAAUUAAGAAGCAUGUGGUGCAGCAGGUUAAGGAUCUGGUGUGGCUGUACCUGUGGCACAGGUCACAACUGUGACUCGGGUUCCAUCCCUAGCCUGGGAACGUCCAUAGGCUGUGGGCGCAGCCAAAAAAAAAAAAAAGAAUCAUAAAACUGUUCAUUGCAGGAGUUCCUCUUGUGGCUCAAAGGGUUAAGAACCCGACACAGUGUCUGGGAGGAUGGGGGUUCAAAUCCUGGCCUCGCUCAGCAGGGUAAGCAACCAGCAUGGCCACAAGCUGCAGGGAAGAUCACAGAUGCGGCGCAGACCCAGUGUUGGCGUGGCUGUGUCGCAGGCCGGCCACUGCAGCUCCAAUUUGACUCCUAGCCCAGGAGCUUCCAUAUGCCACCAGUGCAGCCCCAAAAAGAAAAAAAUAAAGUGUUCACUGCAGAAGAACUAGAAGAUACAAAAAAUAGCAUGGGAGAAAAUUAAAGUCAGCAGCAACUGCACCAUGAAGGUAGCAGAGAGAAUGAAUGCUCUGCCCGUGUCUACGUAGAUAUUUAUUUAAAAAUUCCAGAUCAGGAGUUCCCAUUGUGGUUCAGUGGUUAACGAAUCCAACUAGGAACCAUGAGGAUGUGGGUUGGAUCCCUGGCAUCGCUCAGUGGGUCAAGGAUCCGGCGUUGCCGUGAGCUGUGGUGUAGGUUGCAGAUGCGGCUCGGAUCCCGCGUUGCAGUGGCUGUGGUGCAGGCCGGUGGCUACAGCUCUGAUUAGACCCCUAGCCUGGGAACCACCAUUUGCCACGGGAGCGGCCCUGAAAAGACAAAAAAAUAAAAGUUGAUUAUUAUUAUUACUUUUCUUUUCUUUUUUUUUUUUGGUGGCGAUCGUGGCAUGUGGAUGUGGAGGGCCUGGGCCAGAGAUCAAACCGGCACCACAGCAGUGACAACCCGGGAACUCUUGAAUGUGGAUUCUGUCGGGGAGGAAAAUCUUUUCCUCUUUCUUUUCUAGGUUCUUUGGCUGGUCUAUAUAUUUUUAAAUUAUUAUUAUUAUUAUUUGCUUUUUAGGGCCGCAUCCAUGGCAUAUGGAAAUUCCCAGGCUAGGGGGUCAAAGCAGAGCUGCAGCUGCCAGCCUACCCCACAACCACAGCCACGCAGGAUCUGAGCCAGUCUGCGACCUACCCCACAGCUCAUGGCAACGCUGGAUCCAUAACCCACUGAGCGAGGCCAGGGAUCGAACCUGUGUCCUCAUGGAUACUAGUCGGAUUCCUAACCUGCAGAGCUACAAUAGGAGCUCCUGGCUGGUCUAAUAAUUAAACGGACGUGAGACAGAUUAACAAGAGGAAAACACAUUUCAUACCCGCGAGAGUCCCAUGAAUCUGAGACUCGAACGCAGCCAGGCUGUUUCGGCGUCCGCCUCCUGAACGUAGCAGAGGGGGCGGGAGUCCGGCUUCAAGCGGAGGAAGACCAGCCCUGGGAAGCUGAGAAGAGGAGCUGUUUGGUAACCGGGUGUUUGAUCUGCAGAUCAGAUUAUGAUCUGCAGAUCAGAUUACUUCUGAAUCGCUCUUUUCCUGGGCCGGCCCCUGUCUAAAUUCUUUCAGGCAGUUAAGGAGCAGUUACAAGCUUUUCCGAGUCUGCCUGGUCUUAGUGGCCUUCAGCUCCAACAGGCCACAUGCAGACUGACACAUGGGGUGGGGGGGAUCUUCCGGUCCCCCCCUCAGUUCCAUAUCAGGUUGUGUUUCCUUACAAGAGAUGAUCCUACAGAGGUGAGGCAGGAAAGCUUCCUAACCAUUUUGGCCGGUAUCACCUAAGCCCUCUCCUGUGGCCUCUGGCCCACUUCCUUGGCCUGAGCCUAAAAUCCCAGGGAGUCCCUGCGGGAGCAGUGGCACAGCGGCCCAGGAAAGAGGAAGGGGCUGACCAGGGACUCUGUGUGCUUUUAGCCCUUUUGUAAAAACCAAGCGGCCUAGGCUGCAAGCAAUUGGUGAUUGAAAUAAAUAUCAAAAAGUAAAAUAAAAAACACGACAAAAUACCUUCCGGAGAGAUUUCCAAAGAUGGGACACUUCUUGCGGAGCAGGCAGGACCAGGAGCGUCCUUGGUGAGGGUAAGGGUCCCCAAGCCUAGGCAGGGGCUCCAUGUGACGAACCCCAAAACCUGAGACCUCCACCCACACUGGAGGCAACCUUCUAGAUGCUAGAGGAGCAAAGGAACUUGGCUGGGGCUGCUGGUCAUCGGCUUUGCACUUCUUGGCACACAGGAGAAGAAUCCAUGCUGGCUAAGUGCCAGUAAA